GAUAAUUAGGGUUAAGAGCAACACAAGAGUUGCACAGUUACUUUUCCCUUUUUCCUUUCGCAGUUUGUGAAGUAUUUGCAUCUUUAGGUUAGCAUAGAAUAUUUUAUUUGUCAAUUGUCCAUGUUAAUAUGUGUGUGCAUAAUUAUAAGAAAUAGUAGUGCUAUCCGUGGCGUGAUUAUACAAUGGAGUUGAAGAAUCUUUUAUUCAUUCUUACAUUUUUCUUUUAUAGUAGUAUUAUAAAAUAUAUAUAAUAAGUUAAUGGCUGAUUUUUGAUUUGGGUUUCCUUGGAUUUAUUUAUUUAUUUAUUUAUUAUUAUUAUUAUACAAUUACAAAAACUUGUGAUCAAUAACUAGCCACUACCUAAUAUAGGAUAAUUCGAGAGCUACGGUUUUGUAAUUGGUCUUUAGGCUUAGAGUAUUUAGAAACAAGAAUUUAUAAAAAAGUUGUCAUUAGAUUUUUACUCUUAUGGAAAUUAAAUAUAUUGGAACAUAUUUUGAAUGUUUCGAAACUUUGAGGAAGGGAAAGACGUUUGCAGACUAACUGCAUUUAGAUUCGUUGGUUGAGGUAGGUUGCGGUUUAAUUAAAAUUUAGACUCGACUUAAUUGUGUUUAUGCUCCUAAAUUGGUUACUUGUGGAUUGGUACUCGGAAAUGCUUGAAAUUGUUGAUGUUUGGAUUGUUGAUUCGUGCAUAAAUAUUUAUUAAAAAUUGACUUGAUGAAAUUGUGUAUAAAUUGGUUACUUGUGUAUAAAUGUUUAUUGAAAAUUGGCAUGCUGUGAGGUUGUGUAAAUUGAUAUUGAUAAUACUUGGUUAUGUUUAUGUUGGAUCGGGUACCACGCCGGUACGUUUACAUUUAUGUUGGAUCGGGACCACACCGGUACGUUUAUAUUUAUGUUGGAUCGGGUACCAUGCCGGUACAUUUAUAUUCAUGUUGGAUCGGGUACCACACCGGUACAUUUAUAUUUAUGUUGGAUCGGGUACCAUGCCGGUACGUUUAUAUUUAUGUUGGAUCGGGUACCACACUGGUAUGUUAAUAUUUAUGUUGGAUCGGGUACCACACCGGUACGGUACAUGAACAUAGAUUGUUCCCUGCAGGUCAUGACUAUUUGGGCAAAAAUAAGUCUCAUAACAUGUGUGUACAUAUUUGUGUUAUUUCUAUGGAUAUUUACAGUAUGAUUGAUACUCUUGAUGGUUAUGUGGCUUGUUUGUAAGCACUGUUUGACCUGUUGUUGCUGUAAUGUUGAUUCAUUGAAUAUUUGAUGUGUAACGAUGCCUGUCUACUUGUUAUUCAAUUUAUGUUGCGUACAUACUAUUUAAUUGAGUUGUCCUAUGAUAUCUACCAAUACAUAAUGGUUUAUACUGAUACUACCCUGUGCUCUUCUUUUGUUGAGUGCGGAAAGUGUUCUAGACUCAGACAUGACCUCACCUCUAGAGUUUGCUAGCAGAUCUUGAUCCAAGGGUGAGCACUCAGUCUCCAGGCUGCCAUGGGUCAUCUUAUUUGUUCUUAUCCAUCUUCGGGCAAUGAAACAUUCUUUAUUUACUUUAUUUUUUUAUAUCACUUUAGAUAUGAUCUUUGUUAGUAGUUCUUGUACGAUGACUUUCGGGUUUUGAGAGUUUUAGUAAGUAGUUUGUUUGAAUUUCUG
This 1641-nucleotide long non-coding RNA is filed under the name Capsicum annuum. RNAcentral's name for it is "long non-coding RNA (CANN_LNC014385)". Lineage: Eukaryota; Viridiplantae; Streptophyta; Magnoliopsida; Solanales; Solanaceae. The record is from RNAcentral.